GGUUGCGAUCAUACCAGCACUAAUGCACCGGAUCCCAUCAGACCUCCGCAGUUAAGCGUGCUUGGGCGAGAGUAGUACUAGGAUGGGUGACCCCCUGGGAAGUCCUCGUGUUGCAACCCC
Molecule: ribosomal RNA, 120 nt
Filed under: Helianthus annuus (common sunflower)
Lineage: Eukaryota; Viridiplantae; Streptophyta; Magnoliopsida; Asterales; Asteraceae
Source: RNAcentral